Vicia villosa (hairy vetch) is the source of this 1748-nucleotide long non-coding RNA. RefSeq lists it as uncharacterized. The record is from RefSeq and is a predicted model, not a curated record. Lineage: Eukaryota; Viridiplantae; Streptophyta; Magnoliopsida; Fabales; Fabaceae. The transcript has 10 exons.
GUAGUAUUGUCAUUUUCAUUUCAAUUUCAGCUUGCAACUUGCUUGUGGAAGCGAUGUAAAUCUGAAAUCGUAGAAUCCACCGUCAACUCUCUGUUCAAUCGCCGCCACCGUAAACUCUGUUCAACCGCCGCCACCAUCAACUCUCUGUUCAAUCGCCGCCACACAACUUGACUCUUUCUUUCUAAGAAAUGCUGUGGAGCUUGGACCUUUUGGACCUUUGGCUGUUACUCUCAUGAAAAUGCCUCGUUUGAGUUUUUGUCGUGUUGAUGAAUUAGCUUUUGCAGUUAAUAAGCAUGAUCUUGGGAAUUACAGGCCUUUAAUAACUCUCUAUAAGGAUUGGGGUCAAAGUAACUUUGGGAUUUCAGUGAAAUAGAUGAAACUUUGUUGCAACCCGUCAUUGAGGCUCUGCAACCUAUAGCUGAUGUCACUGUUGAAAGCCAGGUUUUGUACCAUACACCAAAGGCUUCGUUUUCUGAUUGGGAUGAUGAACAUGGCAGCCACAUAUUCACCACUCAGGAUCUUCCUUUCUUUCUUUAUGACAUAAAGUUAUGCAUUAUUGGCAACUGGUGUGAUCUCUAUGUAAGUACAGUAUAUAAGUGUUGAAUACGGAUCAGGAGAGAUCAAUUUAAGUACUGUAACAAAGGUCAAGAAAGGAAAGGGAACUUCUGGUGUAUCUGCUACCAACAGUCUAGAUGUUCAUCGUGCCGUGAGGACUGGUUUACCUGAAUCAUUGUCUUGUCAAAACGUGUUGUCAUCGAGAAGCCAAGCCACAGUGGUUCCUUCUCCCGAAUGUCAAAGUCCAGUUGAAUUGAUGCAGUUCAGAAUACACUUAAACUUAACAUGAAAAUCCAAGUAGGGGAGCUAGACGGAGUCAAGAGAGUGAUCACAGUCAACUUCAGCCUUCACCUUUGCGAGGUAUAUUGUUGGAAUAAAUGCGUUCCUUUAAUACAAUUCUAGUUUAGUGCAUCAAGUUUUAACCAAUUUAUUGCAGAAAACCCAAUCCGGUGCUCUCGUUUCGGUAAUUGGUUUAAUUAUAAUGGCUACGCUGUUUCUGCACGAGAUGGGUUAUUAUCUCACAACUUAAACUGUUCAUGAGAUGUCAGUGGACUUGAAUCGUGGAGAGACUCUUCCGAUUCAUAUAAAUAUGACAUUCCCUUCUUUACCUUGUGAUGUUUUGAGUGUGGAUGCUAUUGAUAUGUCGGGCAAGCAUGAGGUGGAUCUUGAUACUAACAUAUGGAAAGAAGAGUUAAAGAAGCACAUGGUAGAGGAGGCGGGUAGCUCAUAUAAUUCUCAAGCCAUCAAAUAUUCUACAAGCUGAAAGAAUGAUACUUAUUCAAAGGUUAAAGGGCCCGAAAAGAGAGGACAAGUGCGUUGUCCUGGCAAGCUUCCCUGACAUGCCAGUUUUAGCUCCAAUGCUGAUAAUAGAGUUGCAACAUUAGAGAAUUUGCUUGGAAAUCUAAUUUCUAUUCUUCAAGUGCGGUUUUCUGAAGAUCGACAAGUUAACGAGGUCUUACGAGUUAUAAACGAAGAGGUUUGAUUUUGUGUCACCUAUUGACCAUAAUCUGGUGAAGUUCAUCUCAAGAUACUCUUCACCUCCCUUUGCUAUACAGAUGUUUACAUGAAAGUGAAGAUACAAGAAUAUUAAAAUAAAAAUAUAUGUGAUUUCUUUUGUAAGAUUUUAAGUAUAUUGAAUGAAACUUUCUAUGUUGAAAUAUUUGAAUUUAAUGUAAAAUGGGAUAAUUUUUUCA